UAUUUUUGAGUUGACAGGCCUCUGUGGAAGACUCAUUAUCUGGUAUGGUAGAGGACCUGAAAUGGCUGCCACCUAAAGGCCAAGACUGCCCCUCCAGUGCCUCUGAAGCCUGAGGCAGAGGUCAGCCAACAACACAGGAACACUUGGUUGGCCACAUCAGGUUCAGGACUGUACUUUGGAUGAGCCCUGAGACCUGGAUGAACAGAGGUCUCUUGAAUUCUUGUGAAGGAAUCAGAGAGGAUGCCUGGGCCUGCAGCCAGCACCACCCUCAGGGCUUCCCAGGAGGAGCUGUCCCUGGGGCCAGUGUGGUUUGCCCCACUGCUGCAGGACCUGGAGAGGAUUCAUCCUACAGUGAAUUGGAACAGGAGGGGCCCCAGAAGCUGAUCCAUAAAGUGUCCACCUCUGAACAGAUGGGGACCAAGGAAUCAGAGAGGAUGCCUGGGCCUGCAGCCAGCACCACCCUCAGGGCUUCGCAGGAGGAGCUGUCCCUGGGGCCAGUGUGGUUUGCCCCACUGCUGCAGGACCUGGAGAGGAUUCAUCCUACAGUGAAUUGGAGCAUGAGGGGCCCCAGAAGCUGAUCCAUAAAGUGUCCACCUCUGAACAGAUGGGGACCAAGAUCAGUCUGCUGACAAGACUUUGAAGGGGAUUCAACAUGAGCCUAGUGAAUCACAGUUUGUUCAUCUUCAGGAAGUCAUUUCAAAAGAUUUCAAAGUAAAAGUGAAGUGCUUAAGAAAGCAUGA
This is an RNA transcript of Mus musculus (house mouse), 740 nucleotides long. It is a transcript of the gene named predicted gene, 32966, with no coding region annotated. The transcript is spliced from 4 exons. Lineage: Eukaryota; Metazoa; Chordata; Mammalia; Rodentia; Muridae. The record is from RefSeq and is a predicted model, not a curated record.